UUAUCCGGAUUUAUUGGGUUUAAAGGGAGCGUAGGCGGGUGCUUAAGUCAGUUGUGAAAGUUUGCGGCUCAACCGUAAAAUUGCAGUUGAUACUGGGCGCCUUGAGUGCAGCAUAGGUAGGCGGAAUUCGUGGUGUAGCGGUGAAAUGCUUAGAUAUCACGAAGAACUCCGAUUGCGAAGGCAGCUUACUGGACUGUAACUGACGCUGAUGCUCGAAAGUGUGGGUAUCAAACAGGAUUAGAUACCCUGGUAGUCCACACAGUAAACGAUGAAUACUCGCUGUUGGCGAUACACAGUCAGCGGCCAAGCGAAAGCAUUAAGUAUUCCACCUGGGGAGUACGCCGGCAACGGUGAAACUCAAAGGAAUUGACGGGGGCCCGCACAACGGAGGAACUGUGGUUUAAUCGAUGAUACCAGGACCUUACCCGGCUU
RNAcentral lists this ribosomal RNA (432 nucleotides) under uncultured bacterium. RNAcentral's name for it is "bacterial SSU rRNA". It matches the Rfam family "Bacterial small subunit ribosomal RNA", at positions 541 to 981 of the family's 1533-position model. The record is from RNAcentral.